ACGCACGCUGGCGGCGUGCUUAACACCUGCCAGUCGCACGGAAAGGCUCUGCUUUUGUGGGGUGCUCGAGUGGCGAACGGGUGAGUAACACGUGAGUAACCUGCCCUUGACUUUGGGAUAACUUCAGGAAACUGGGGCUAAUACCGGAUAGGAGCUCCUGCUGCUUGGUGGGGGUUGGAAAGUUUCGGCGGUUGGGGAUGGACUCGCGGCUUAUCAGCUUGUUGGUGGGGUAGUGGCUUACCAAGGCUUUGACGGGUAGCCGGCCUGAGAGGGUGACCGGCCACAUUGGGACUGAGAUACGGCCCAGACUCCUACGGGAGGCAGCAGUGGGGAAUAGUGCACAAUGGGCGGAAGCCUGAUGCAGCAACGCCGCGUGCGGGAUGACGGCCUUCGGGUUGUAAACCGCUUUCGCCUGUGACGAAGCGUGAGUGACGGUAAUGGGUAAAGAAGCACCGGCUAACUACGUG
This 467-nucleotide ribosomal RNA is filed under the name uncultured bacterium. Its description in RNAcentral is "partial 16S ribosomal RNA". It matches the Rfam family "Bacterial small subunit ribosomal RNA", at positions 29 to 507 of the family's 1533-position model. The record is from RNAcentral.